This 433-nucleotide ribosomal RNA is filed under the name uncultured bacterium. RNAcentral's name for it is "bacterial SSU rRNA". It matches the Rfam family "Bacterial small subunit ribosomal RNA", at positions 954 to 1389 of the family's 1533-position model. The record is from RNAcentral.
AUGGGAACGCGAAGAACCUUACCUAGACUUGACAUCUCCUGAAUUACUCUGUAAUAGAGGAAGCCCUUCGGGCGAGGAAGACAGGUGGUGCAUGGUUGUCGUCAGCUCGUGUCGUGAGAUGUUGGGUUAAGUCCCGCAACGAGCGCAACCCUUAUUGUUAGUUGCUACCAUUAAGUUGAGCACUCUAGUGAGACUGCCCGGGUUAACCGGGAGGAAGGCGGGGAUGACGUCAAAUCAUCAUGCCCCUUAUGUCUAGGGCUACACACGUGCUACAAUGGUGAGAACAACGAGAUGCAAUACCGCGAGGUGGAGCAAAACUUCAAAACUCAUCUCAGUUCGGAUUGUAGGCUGAAACUCGCCUACAUGAAGUUGGAGUUGCUAGUAAUCGCGAAUCAGAAUGUCGCGGUGAAUACGUUCCCGGGUCUUGUACACA